UACGGAGGGUGCAAGCGUUAAUCGGAAUUACUGGGCGUAAAGCGUGCGCAGGCGGUCUUGCAAGACAGAUGUGAAAUCCCCGGGCUUAACCUGGGAACUGCAUUUGUGACUGCAAGGCUGGAGUGCGGCAGAGGGGGAUGGAAUUCCGCGUGUAGCAGUGAAAUGCGUAGAUAUGCGGAGGAACACCGAUGGCGAAGGCAAUCCCCUGGGCCUGCACUGACGCUCAUGCACGAAAGCGUGGGGAGCAAACAGG
RNAcentral lists this ribosomal RNA (253 nucleotides) under uncultured bacterium. Its description in RNAcentral is "partial 16S ribosomal RNA". It matches the Rfam family "Bacterial small subunit ribosomal RNA", at positions 524 to 776 of the family's 1533-position model. The record is from RNAcentral.